RNAcentral lists this transfer RNA (72 nucleotides) under Camelus bactrianus (Bactrian camel). It matches the Rfam family "tRNA". From Rfam's summary of the family: Transfer RNA (tRNA) molecules are approximately 80 nucleotides in length. Lineage: Eukaryota; Metazoa; Chordata; Mammalia; Artiodactyla; Camelidae. RNAcentral also lists the same sequence under 1 other name. The record is from Rfam by way of RNAcentral.
GAGGGUAGAGCUCAGUGGCACAGCAUGUGCUUAGCAUGCACGAGGUCCUGGGUUCAAUCCCUAGUACCUACA